UACAGAGGGUGCAAGCGUUAAUCGGAAUUACUGGGCGUAAAGCGCGCGUAGGCGGUCAAGUAAGAUGGGUGUGAAAUCCCCGGGCUCAACCUGGGAACUGCAUCCAUAACUGCUUGACUAGAGUACAGUAGAGGGUGGUGGAAUUUUCUGUGUAGCGGUGAAAUGCGUAGAUAUAGGAAGGAACACCAGUGGCGAAGGCGACCACCUGGACUGAUACUGACGCUGAGGUGCGAAAGCGUGGGGAGCAAACAGG
Molecule: ribosomal RNA, 253 nt
Filed under: uncultured bacterium
Lineage: Bacteria
Description: partial 16S ribosomal RNA
Rfam family: Bacterial small subunit ribosomal RNA
Source: RNAcentral